This 253-nucleotide ribosomal RNA is filed under the name uncultured bacterium. RNAcentral's name for it is "partial 16S ribosomal RNA". It matches the Rfam family "Bacterial small subunit ribosomal RNA", at positions 524 to 776 of the family's 1533-position model. The record is from RNAcentral.
UACGUAGGGUGCAAGCGUUAAUCGGAAUUACUGGGCGUAAAGCGUGCGCAGGCGGUUCCGCAAGUCUGAUGUGAAAGCCCCGGGCUCAACCUGGGAAUGGCAUUGGAAACUGGCUUGCUAGAGUGUGGCAGAGGGGGGUGGAAUUCCGCGUGUAGCAGUGAAAUGCGUAGAGAUGCGGAGGAACACCGAUGGCGAAGGCAGCCCCCUGGGCCAACACUGACGCUCAGGCACGAAAGCGUGGGGAGCAAACAGG